GUCAAUUGAUCCACUUAAAAUAACGCAGUUCCCUGUAUAAAAGAAAGCUGUACUCCUAGCCUCCAAUCAUAUCAAAAAAAGUUUCAAGCUUGAAGCAAUGGAGUCUCUUCAGAAGUUGGUGAUCAUGGUGAUGCUGGUGCUGUCGAUCAUCCUUGGCUGCGGUGAGAUCGCCUUGUUGAGGGCUGAUGGCUUCUGUAACAUGACAAUGGAGGGUUUCAAUGCAUGCAAGCCUGCAGUCACCGGCCCAGAACCUACUGAGCCAUCUGAAGAGUGUUGUGAAGCCCUCUCCAAUGCCGACCUUCCAUGCCUUUGCUCUUACCGGCACUCAAUGCUGCUGCCAUCCCUUGGAAUAGACCCUGACCUUGCCAUGCAGCUCCCACAAAAAUGCAAUCUCACUCCGCCUGCCGAGUGCUAAGGGGAAUUCUUGGGAGGUGAGCAGGCCCCUUCUUCGUUACAUGCCUAUGAAGUUCUUAAACUGCUGGUGUUUCUCAAGGAGUAUAAAUGAUGUCAAAUAUGUAAUAUUGCUACUUCAUUUCCGAAUUUUAUAUACACUUUCUUUGAUGUUUCUGGACACUGUAAUUACUUUGUACUACUAAAAUAAGAAAGUUGUUAUCUUUUCUUUUUCUA
This is a long non-coding RNA of Phoenix dactylifera (date palm), 627 nucleotides long. RefSeq lists it as uncharacterized. The record is from RefSeq and is a predicted model, not a curated record. NCBI's taxonomy places the organism in Eukaryota, Viridiplantae, Streptophyta, Magnoliopsida, Arecales, Arecaceae.